CAUCCAGCCGGCCGCCGGCCUGAGCUCCGCCGCAUCUGAGUCCGGCUCCUGGGCUCGGGCCGCCGCCCCGCAUCCGGCUCCUGGUCACGCCGCAUCCGCGCAUCGGGCCUUGGUCGCGCCGCCGUCUCCCAUCCACAGGCGGGGGUGUGCGCGCGGGGCACGCCAAGGAAAUGCCACCCGCGGCGGCGCGCGGCGGCUGGGCGACGCCACGAGCUCGGCGGCCGAGUGACGAGACGCGCGACGGCAGAGCCAGGAAACGGCCCGCGCCUCUUCAGGAGCGAUGUUAGCCCCCCUUCGUCCAUGGCUUCGUGAAGGCAAUCAGACCAUGGCUUCUUUAUGCAUCCACCACUCUCAUAUCCACCGCUGGUAGAAGGAAGAAUCAGAGGUUCAAAAGGAGUAGUGAAGGAGGGAGUACAACACGCAGAAAGGGGCAGCAUAGAUGUGAUGUCUGUGGUGGAUUUGGACACCGUUGGUACACAUGCAAAGAUGGUAACCCAGAAGACAAAGCUGCCUUGCUAGCUGAAAGGGGCCCACCCAAGAAGAGAAAGAAGAAAACAAAUUAAGCCACUAAUGAAAGCACUGAAAUUGUAGCUAUUUCAGCCCGCCCUACACCGAUGUAUUUUCCUCCUAGUCAAGGAUGCUCCACUAACAUAAUCAUAAGCAAAUGGACAACUGAAAAGUCUGCAUGUGCCUCAAGCCAACCUGAUGCACUCUCCAUAGGACCACCAGUAGCUCCCUUGCAGCCAACAGUGAAGAAAAAGAGAGUAGGGAAAGCAAAGGAAGACAAGCCAAAGGGUGCAAACAAGACAAAGGGUGCAAACAAGCCAAAGGGUGCAACAAAGCAGAAGCAAGCUUUGGUGCCUGUUCCACCUCAAAGUCCUGCCAUGUGCACCAGGAGCAAAGCACCGGAAAGCCCCACAAUGUCCACUAGAAGCAAGCGAAAAAUUCUGGAUUGACUAUUCAUGACAAGUCUGUGAGACUAUUCAUAUGUAUGGUAUGCUGAUCUGUGACAUGAGACAUUAGUUGCUCUUAGGUUGAUGAGAAACUUGAUACUGUAUGGCAUGCUGCAGUCUAGUUGCUGCCACUAUCUCUUGACAUGUAUGCUAUGCAUGAAACUCAUUUUCAAUGAGAAAACUUAUGCUCAUAUUUCA
Panicum virgatum (switchgrass) is the source of this 1151-nucleotide long non-coding RNA. RefSeq lists it as uncharacterized. The transcript is spliced from 5 exons. NCBI's taxonomy places the organism in Eukaryota, Viridiplantae, Streptophyta, Magnoliopsida, Poales, Poaceae. The record is from RefSeq and is a predicted model, not a curated record.